UUGGAAGGGCAAGUUCUGGUGCCAGCAGCCGCGGUAAUUCCAGCUCCAAUAGCGUAUAUUAAAGUUGUUGCAGUUAAAAAGCUCGUAGUUGAAUUUCGGGAUCAAUGUUUCGGUCAUGCCGUUGGUAUGUACUGAUAUUAUUGAUUUCUCACCUUCUAAAGAACCGUAAUGCCAUUAAUUUGGUGUCACGGGGAAUUAGGACAGUUACCUUGAAAAAAUUAGAGUGUUUAAAGCAGGCUCACGCUUGAAUACAUUAGCAUGGAAUAAUGAAAUAGGACAUCCGAUUCUAUUUUGUUGGUUUCUAGGAUCGAUGUAAUGAUUAAUAGGGAUAGUUGGGGGCAUUAGUAUUCAAUUGUCAGAGGUGAGAUUCUUGGAUUUAUUGAAGACUAACUACUGCGAAAGCAUUUGCCAAGGAUGUUUUCAUUAAUCAAGAACGAAAGUUAGGGGAUCGAAGACGACCAGAUACCGUCGUAGUCUUAACCAUAAACUAUGCCGACUAGGGAUCGGAUGAUGUUAAUUUUUUAAUGACUCAUUCGGCGCCUUACGGGAAACCAAAGUGUUUGGGUUC
RNAcentral lists this ribosomal RNA (568 nucleotides) under uncultured Glomeromycotina. RNAcentral describes it as "SSU rRNA". It matches the Rfam family "Eukaryotic small subunit ribosomal RNA", at positions 539 to 1114 of the family's 1831-position model. Lineage: Eukaryota; Fungi; Glomeromycota. The record is from RNAcentral.